AUGGGGGUGAUGGCCAGUCCUGGUGUCUGA
Molecule: non-coding RNA, 30 nt
Filed under: Cricetulus griseus (Chinese hamster)
Lineage: Eukaryota; Metazoa; Chordata; Mammalia; Rodentia; Cricetidae
Also listed under: 1 other name
Source: RNAcentral